RNAcentral lists this ribosomal RNA (478 nucleotides) under Babesia venatorum (nom. ined.). Its description in RNAcentral is "SSU rRNA". It matches the Rfam family "Eukaryotic small subunit ribosomal RNA", at positions 500 to 1028 of the family's 1831-position model. Lineage: Eukaryota; Apicomplexa; Aconoidasida; Piroplasmida; Babesiidae. The record is from RNAcentral.
GUCUUGUAAUUGGAAUGAUGGUGACCUAAACCCUCACCAGAGUAACAAUUGGAGGGCAAGUCUGGUGCCAGCAGCCGCGGUAAUUCCAGCUCCAAUAGCGUAUAUUAAACUUGUUGCAGUUAAAAAGCUCGUAGUUGAAUUUCUGCGUUAUCGAGUUAUUGACUCUUGUCUUUAAUCGAUUUCGCUUUUGGGAUUUAUCCCUUUUUACUUUGAGAAAAUUAGAGUGUUUCAAGCAGACUUUUGUCUUGAAUACUUCAGCAUGGAAUAAUAGAGUAGGACUUUGGUUCUAUUUUGUUGGUUUUUGAACCUUAGUAAUGGUUAAUAGGAACGGUUGGGGGCAUUCGUAUUUAACUGUCAGAGGUGAAAUUCUUAGAUUUGUUAAAGACGAACUACUGCGAAAGCAUUUGCCAAGGACGUUUCCAUUAAUCAAGAACGAAAGUUAGGGGAUCGAAGACGAUCAGAUACCGUCGUAGUCCUA